Molecule: ribosomal RNA, 153 nt
Filed under: Echinococcus granulosus
Lineage: Eukaryota; Metazoa; Platyhelminthes; Cestoda; Cyclophyllidea; Taeniidae
Description: 5.8S ribosomal RNA
Rfam family: 5.8S ribosomal RNA
About the family: 5.8S ribosomal RNA (5.8S rRNA) is a component of the large subunit of the eukaryotic ribosome. It is transcribed by RNA polymerase I as part of the 45S precursor that also contains 18S and 28S rRNA.
Source: Rfam by way of RNAcentral
AACUGUGCGCGGUGGAUCACUUGGCUCGUGCGUCGAUGAAGAGUGCAGCCAACUGUGUGAAUUAAUGUUAAUCGCAGACUGCUUUGAACGUCGACAUCUUGAACGCAUAUUGCGGCCAUAGGCUUGCCUGCGGCCACGUCUGUCCGAGCGUCG